GCAGUGGGUGAGGUCUGUAACAGGUAAAUUGGUACUGUGGAGUCUAAAGAGUAGAAAGAAUGUUAAGGUUUUUCAGGAAGAGACAAGAAGUUUUGGGAAACCCUAGCCAAGGUACAUCCAAUAAAUAACAGAAUUGUCUUCCCUGCUGCUGAAGGCUGUAUUCUUCUUUGGGCUCUGGGAGGCCUCUGCGAGAGGUUCAGCUUUGCUGUGGUAAUGUUGUACUGGGUACCAGCAGCGCCCGGGUGUGAUGGAGGGUACAGGCGGGCAUCCCAAAUCUACCGUCCCCGAGACCGGAGCUGUGCAGUGCGGUCUGCCCUGCCGGCAGCACGGCGAGGAGCUGCCUGAAGCCUCCGGAGCCUGAAGAGCAGGUCUGUCCCCUGCGAGCUGCAGAGCUCUGAGAGCUGCACAGCUCCAAGAGCCUCCCUGUAUGAGGUGCAUGGGGAAGACACUUAACUGCUGAGCAGGGGAGUUUCCAGAGGUUGGCUGGAGAGAGCGCGGCUUGAUGUCUGCUGCAUCUUGGUAUGUGGAGAGGGCUCCUGCCUCUAACUGCGAGAUGGGAUUUGCUCCCCUUAAAGCUGGUCUUCUGCUCUCCUCCCUAGCCCUACCUGCCAUAGGUUGCUCUACAUGAGCUGUACAAGUGAGGCUGCUUGCUCAGGGACUGGCCAGCUCCUCGAGGGUUGCAUUCCCUUGGGCAUUCAUAAAGUUCCUAGACAAAAUGGAACAUCAUUUUUGAUUAUGGACAAAGACCUUGUAUACGCUGGGGAGCUUAAAAAGAUUUUUAAAAUCUCUUCUAUGUUGUCUGUUCAGAGGCACUUCUAGCAACACUGAUGUGUGCUUAGAGCUCCAACUCUCGAAAAAAUCACAUGUAUUGUCAUGAAAUAGGUGAAAAGAAUCCUUAGAUUUGUCCUGUGUAGGGAAUUAUCGUAUGUGUAAUUUAUGUAAGGCAGGUUUGAGUUUGCAAAAAGUCUGGAACAUUUGAAAACGUGCGAAUCGUUCUCACUGCUCUGUAAGCCGUGAAACACAUUACUUCUGGUGUGCCCUGCU
Nothoprocta perdicaria is the source of this 1044-nucleotide long non-coding RNA. RefSeq lists it as uncharacterized. The record is from RefSeq and is a predicted model, not a curated record. Lineage: Eukaryota; Metazoa; Chordata; Aves; Tinamiformes; Tinamidae. The transcript has 3 exons.